RNAcentral lists this ribosomal RNA (500 nucleotides) under uncultured bacterium. RNAcentral's name for it is "partial 16S ribosomal RNA". It matches the Rfam family "Bacterial small subunit ribosomal RNA", at positions 28 to 507 of the family's 1533-position model. The record is from RNAcentral.
GACGAACGCUGGCGGCGUGCUUAACACAUGCAAGUCGAACGGGUCUGCCCUGUUUUUUGCGGAGUGGGUCAGUGGCGAACGGGUGAGUAACACGUGAGUAACCUGCCCCUCACUUCUGGAUAACCGCUUGAAAGGGUGGCUAAUACGGGGUGUUCUGGCUGUGCCGCAUGGUGUGGCUGGGAAAGAUUCACUUUUGUGGUGUUUUGGUGGGGGAUGGGCUCGCGGCCUAUCAGCUUGUUGGUGGGGUGAUGGCCUGCCAAGGCUUUGACGGGUAGCCGGCCUGAGAGGGUGGGCGGUCACACUGGGACUGAGAUACGGCCCAGACUCCUGCGGGAGGCAGCAGUGGGGGGUAGUGCACAAUGGGCGGAAGCCUGAUGCAGCGACGUCGCGUGAGGGAUGGAGGCCUUCGGGUUGUGAACCUCUUUCGCCGGUGAAGAAGGUCCUGCUCUUUGUGGUGGGGUUGACGGUAGCCGGGUUAUGAAGCGCCGGCUAACUACGUG